RNAcentral lists this unclassified non-coding RNA (378 nucleotides) under uncultured bacterium. Its description in RNAcentral is "contains 16S-23S intergenic spacer region". The record is from RNAcentral.
UCCGGUUUGUCACCGGCAGUCUCAUUAGAGUGCCCAACCAAAUGUAGCAACUAAUGACAAGGGUUGCGCUCGUUGCGGGACUUAACCCAACAUCUCACGACACGAGCUGACGACAGCCAUGCAGCACCUGUGUCCAGGUUCCCUUUCGGGCACCCCUGCAUCUCUGCAGGGUUCCUGGCAUGUCAAGGGUAGGUAAGGUUUUUCGCGUUGCAUCGAAUUAAACCACAUCAUCCACCGCUUGUGCAGGCCCCCGUCAAUUUCUUUGAGUUUUAAUCUUGCGACCGUACUUCCCAGGCGGCACAUUUAACGCGUUAGCUACGCCACAAAAGGGGUCGAUUCCUUUUACAGCAAAUGUGCACCGUUUACGGCUAGGACUAC